Molecule: long non-coding RNA, 8965 nt
Organism: Capsicum annuum
Lineage: Eukaryota; Viridiplantae; Streptophyta; Magnoliopsida; Solanales; Solanaceae
Exons: 5
Source: RefSeq, a predicted model, not a curated record
UGAAAGAUUGAUGGCAAGUUCUUGAGCCUUGAAUUAAAUUUGAAAUCUUCUAGGGUUUGUUCUUGAGAGCAACUUGUGAAGAAUGAAUAAUUUUUUGCUCUUAGAAGGGUUUAAUUUUUUGUUUUGGGGAUGAUAGGUGUGGGAAAAAUACCUAAUUACCCCUUAGGAUGCGGCUUUUUAAUAACUUAAAAUUGACCUAGCGACGCGCAGACCGACACACCGCGUCGUUGGUAUCGAUGAGAUGGCCAACGCACCCAGUUGAGUCCGUGUUGGUUCACUAUAAUUUGCACUGGGAGAUGGAGUAAAAUAUUCAUCGACACAAUGGGCAAUGCAGCAUGUCGAGAUUGCAUCUAUCCACUGAUUUAAGCUUUCAAAUGUGAUCCAAACAAAGUCUGAAAAAUCUGAAAAUUAUUCAAAAAUAUCCACAGACAUUCCUUAUCAUGAUUCAACCUUAAAAUCAUUACUUUAAGGUCAUGAGGGUCAUGAAAUAGAGUCGCCAACCUACGAAAACUAAAAUAACACUAAGUCUGAAUACUUAUCUAAAAUUUUCUAAGUCAGGGACCCCUUAACAAGCUUUAAAGGUCUGAGUUAAGCUUAGGAUUUUGCGGGGUCUUACAAAACUAAUAAUGAUGAGAGAUAGUGAUGCAUAUGAAGGAAACCCCACUACUCUUUAUGCUUUGAUGUUAUGUAGUGAAAAUACUGAAAUUUCUUUAAGCUGGAGGUUUGCCAUGUUUUGUAUUUAUGUUUUGUUUUUGGUGGAUAUUCUAGUGUUUUACUUUGAUAUUUUUAUGCCCUUUUGGGAUGUUGGAUUAUGUUUUCAGACGUUACUAUGCCCGUGUUAGGCAUGGUUUUAUUGUGAUGGAUAUUGUGUACCCUUGUCAGGCUUGCACUUUAUUUGAAUUUUGUUGGAUUAGUUGUUUUUCUUUUGUUUUAUUUCUAGAUUAGUUUUAUUUUGGUGGUUAUUUUGGACAAUCCCUUCCUUAUGAUAGAUUGAGUGACGAUAUUCUUAAUGAAAAAAACAUCAUUUUGGAGUGUUGGUGUCAUCUGUGCCAAGGAAGUCUGAGUACCCAUAGCAUUAUGAAUUGGGGUUUAAAUUGUGAUGAUGGAGAAGUUUAAGUAGCUAUUUGUUUUGGUAAAGUCUGAAUAGCCGUAGCAUUUUCCUUGUUUGAGCUAAAAUGAGAGAUUAUGAAUUUUUUGUACUAAUAAUAGUUAGUCUUGCAUUGUGAAAAGUGAAAUGAGAAUACCCCUCCAUGUAAAUUAUUUGUGGAAAAUAAGAGCAUGGAAGUGAAUGAUGUUGUGACAAUGCUCUGGCUCUGUUCAUGACUCCUAAUUCAUUAGUUGGUAGUAAUGUGGACGCCCUUUUUCUUGCUUAAGAAAUGAAAUCAUUCCUUCUACAAUUGUUUUCAUGUCAUGUGUAGUGAGUGUUUAUUGAAUAAUUCUUGUGCUUGCUUGUGUCAUCUAGAAUUUUCUCCUUGGCCUUUCAAUGCUAGUCUUGAUUAUACUCGAUUGGUGAAAUGAUCUUAGGCCUUCUUUGGGACUUGUGGAAACCACUUUAGGCUGAAUAGCCUACUCGUCCAUGAAUGGUGUCACUGGUUACCCUAUUUGAUCCUAUCAACCUUGAUUUGGCAACCACAUUACAAGUGUUGAACCUUUUUAAAUUUUUGUCCUUGUCAUCUUGGUUUUAUUGUGAUGAAUAUUGUGUCCCCUUAUCGGGCUUGCGCUUUAUUUGAAUUUUGUUGGAUUAGUUCUUUUUCUUUUGUUUCUAUUUCUAGAUUAGUUUUUGUUUUGGUGGUUAUUUUGGAUGAAGACAUUCUAAAGAAAAAAUUAUCGUUUUUGAGUAUUGGUUUCAUUUGUACAGGAGAUGUCUGAGUACACGUAGCAUUGUAAAACAGGGUCGAAAUUAUGAUAUGGUGAAGUCUGAGUAGCCAUUUCUUGUGGUAAAGUCUGAGUAGUCAUAGCAUUAUAGCCCUUGUAGGAGCCAAAUGAAAGAUUGUUAGUCUUGCAUUAUGUAAAGUGAAAUGAGCAAAUCCCUCAGCCUAAAAUUUUGUGAAAAAUAAGUGCAUGGGAUUGAAGAUGUUGUGAUAACACCAUGAAUCUGUUCAUGACUCCUAAUUAUUUAGUUGGUGGUAAUGUGGAAAAUGACGCCUUUUGUUCUGGUUUAGAAAAUGAAAUUGAUUCUUGUAGAAUAGUUUGCAUGCCAUGUUUGGUGAGCGUUUCCUGAAUAAUUCUUGUUCUUGCUUAUGUCAUCUAGAACAUGCCCCAUUGGUUAUUCAAUGCUAGGCUUCAUGAUACUCGGUUGGUGUAAUGAUAUUAGGCCUCUUUUGUGACUUGUGGAAUCCACUUUAGCCUAAAAAUCCUACUCGUGCAUGAAUGGUAUCACUAGUUACCCUAUUUGAGCCUAUCAACCUUUCUUUGGAAACCACAUUACAAUCCUUGAACCUUUUGAAAUUUGUCACAACUCGAGACUACCCCCUAGUCGUAACAUGAUGCUUGGAACCACAAGUGAUCCCAAGAUAACCCAUAAACUGGGAUGAUACUUGAGCAACUGAUUUAGAAUAUAUUAAAUAGCUAGUUCUGUUUUGCGGAAACAUAAUUAUAAUGAAAUCUGAAUAAGUAUGUAACUGAUAAAAAUUUACAAUCUGAUAAAAUAAAGAAAGAACUCAAAUUAAAUGGCUAACUCUGACUGACAUCUAUGAAGCAUCUACUAUACUGACUAUAGGUAGCUGGGACAUGCCUCCAACUAACACUAAUCAAUACAUAUGGAAAAUCAAAAUACAACACAGUACAUGAACUAAAUCUGACUGGGGUCCCCAAAAUAGGAGAAUUCAUCACCUGCUGGCUGGAAGCUGCAACUUUCUGAUUAUGUUGCGUAAGCUAUAACUGGUUCCUACAUUAUGAGAUAAUGUAGCACAUAGACAUAUAUGUGGAUCAGUACUUCUGGAAUAUACUUAAUAAGUGAGGGUGAAUGUAAUAAGUAAGACUGAUUUCAUACGUAAUCUUAAAACAUGCAUGCCAAGUGCAAGUAGACUCACCAAGAGACUGAAAUACACUGACAGCUGAAGUAUCUUAAAACAUAAGUAACAAACAUGAUCUGAUAAGCUGAUGAAUCACUACACUUACUUUCUUAAAUCCUAAAUUUUGCAGAAUAAGUAGAUCUGAAGAUGGGAUAUGGUAAAAUAGGAGUGUUGUAUGUAAAUCUCAUGUAAAGUUGAACAUUCUAUAAAAACUAUACUGAGGAUCAUGUAUGGAUACUGAACAUGAAAAACAUAAUUGUACUUAGUCUAAAUAACUAGACUGAAACUGUGAGAUACCAUGCAUAUGAGGUAAGGACUAACUGAACAACAUGAGAUAACUAAUCAUGAAUGCAUGAAAACUGAAAUAUCUAAGAAUGCAAGACCAAGCAUAAAAUUGUAAUCUGAAAAAUUGUAAACUGUAUAACUGAAUAACUAAAAGUCUGUACACUUGAUAAAGAAAACCUGAACUGAGAAUACACUGAAUACUGUACUGAGACUGUGGGAGCUAUCAUAUAACUGACAUACACCAUUUGAGUUAUCAUGGAGUCCAAUGUCUGACCCACGUUGAGGAUGGUUGUUCUAUGCUUGCUAUCAUAACAGAACCUGAACUGAUCUGGAGUCAUCAUUAAAUCGAGCCCAUAUUGGGCAAAGGAAAACACUCUCUGGCGAGGCUCUAAACCUACGGUGGCAUGUAGAUUCUAGGGAAGUAAGAUGCGCUGAACCCAUACUUCCCACCCGGUGUUAAAUCCUACUCCCAACUUAAAGACACUAAAAUACUAACUAGUGUAUGCACUGUUAACUGAUAACUGAUAAGCUCAGGUCUUGGUAUUUUGAAAAUAAUAGUGCAUACAAAUUCUGAGGUAAUUAUAAAUAUAAAAACUGAUAAUGCUCAUCAUGAAUAUGAAUAUCUGAGUAUACUGAUAAAAUUCAUGGAUUAACUAUGGGAAUUUUUGAAAAGCUGAAUUUCUGUAAAUCACAUAGGUGUCACGUAUUCAUAACCCGCCAUUACUGAAAGAUCACUAAAUGCAAUAGCAAGCUUAAAAACUAUAGUAGAGGGUCAUGGUUCAAAAACCUAUAAGCAUAGACAUUUCAUCAAACACUUGGGAAUCGUGGACUUGAACAUGAGAAUGUCUUAAAACAUAUGAAAACAACAUGAUUACAUGGCUAAAUUCACAAUUUGAUAUUAUGACAUGAAAUUCAAUUGAACACAACAUAGAAAAAAUCAAAACUUGAGACAUGAGAUAACCAAUCUUUUCAUAGGAUCAUACUAGGACAUGAAUUGAGUCAAAUUACUAAGGAGAAACAUGAUUUAAACGCAUCUUCAACAUAUACAAAAUCAUAAUAAAUGAAAAAAUCCAUACUUUAAUGGAAAACACUGCCAGAAAUUGGGUCUAUGGCAACAGACUUUUUUACGACAAUUGCAAAAGCGUUACUAUAGAAUAUCUAUAGCAACACUUUCAAGCGUUGCCAAAAAUAAUUAUUCAAUUAGCAUUAUGACCGUUGCUAUUGAGAAUGAACCGUUGCAAUAGGUACAUUUACAGAGGGGAAAAAAUUAUCUAUCACACUGCUUUUUAAUUUCCCUCCACAAUAUUUUGAGUAAGUCUGCCCAAGAAAACAUUUUUCAAUACAAAAUAUCAAAAUCCCUCUUUUUGUAGCAAAUUGGAAAAUAUCAAAAUCCCCUUUCUGUAGCAAAUUAAAAAUCUCCACACUCCAAAUCGUAUCUCCAAUUUGUAGCAAAUCGAACUUCUGUAGCAAAAUCCCUCCAAUUACGAUUGAGAAACGUAACUCCAAAUCAGGGCAAAUCAGAGCUCUAAUUUCUCUAUCGUAACUCCAUUUCUCCUCAAUCGUAACAUCGAUUGUAAUAUAGUUAUAAUCGUAACUUUGAUUGUUACUCCAUUUCUCCAAUUGUUGGGUAGUAGUUCCAAUUAAUGGGUAGGCUUGUUGUAAUUCCACUGCUGCUGUUCGGUUGCUGUAAUUUCCAUUGAUGUUGUUGACUGAUGGAAAGGAGACAAACAAGUUACUAAUGCAGCUCGGCGAGUCGACUUUCAGUAUUUUUAAGAUUGUUGUUUCAGAAUUUGGGGAUUUUAAGGUAUUCUUUUAAUUGACGAUUUGACCUUAUUUAAGUUUUUAAUUUAGAAGCUCGGCGUGUUUUAGCUUGUAUAAACCUGCAAUAGUUUACCAAUAUUUUAGCUUCUGUAAAGCCACAAUGGCAUACCUAUAUUGGUCUGGCUAAGAUGAGUAGUUGUUUAAAAGCUAAAAAAUUGACUCUUUAGGUAAUAUGGUAAUUUUUGUUUCACUUUGAUGGUCUCUACUGACUAUCUAUACUGUUUGUGUUUGGAAUUUUUUGAGUUGUUGUCAACCUGACUAGUUGUUGUAAUGAAAUAUUACUCUUUUUGUUUGUUCCAUUUUUACGAUGUUAUUAAUAGUUGAGAAGUCAAAAUUUAUAUGAAAGAUUGUGUUUGUUAUGUUCGUUUUGUGCAUAAAUGAUUAUAGGAGUAGUUUGGAAUUUUGUUGUUCAUAAAUGUUGUUCACAAAUGAUUGUGGAAGUCAAAAGUUUGGAAUUUUCUCUAAUCCAAACUGACUAUAGGAUUAGUUCGUUUUGUUCAUAAAUGUUGUUUAAAUUUUUGUUUUUUCUACUGAUUCAAGUGUUAAGAUUUAGGGUGUAUUUGGUACAAAGGAAAAUGCUUUAGUUCUAAAAGAAGUUGUUCUAAGGUGAUCAAGCGUCAUCAUCUUCUUCGUCGGGGGUAAGUUGAACGAUCGACUAAAGCAAUUGCAUUGUCAAGUCCUGUGGAGGAUGACGUGUUGGAUGACGAUAGUGAAGAAGAAAGAGAGGUUAGUUAAUUCCCCAAGUUGUGUAAUGGGAAUUAGCAUAAGCUAUUUUUUUCUUGACUAUUUUUUUCUGGUAUUGCAACUUUUAUGGCACUUAGUUGGCCGUCAUACUUAUCAUUCUAGGAAUUAGUCACAACAGUCUUAUAAGUUGGCCAGUAAUAAAAUAUAUGAGCUAAUAUAAGUUAUAGAUUCUGUUGGAUGAUGCUGAUAAGCAUCAAACAGUUGUUGCAAUGUUCUUAUGGAGGUUGACAAAUGAAUCACAAAAUGGAUCUUACUUUCAGUUGAUUUGUGGAUACGCACUCAUUAAUUGUUUUUAUUGUCUGCACGAGAUGUUGACCAUCAUCUUUUGAACCUAUCACAAGGAUUUGCAUGUGACAUCAAUGUCGAAGGAGCUUUCCAUUUGGAUGCGAUUUUAUUGGAGGAAUCUCUAUUUUGCUUAUUAUUUUAUUUCUUGGGUUGAACUAUUAUCUUUUUUCUACUAUAUACAAAGCCUGAUACAAAUGCAAAAUUUGUUAUCGCUUCUUUUAAGUUGUUUCCAACCUCAAGUUUUGGCUUCUAUAUCUCACUUUGAGAUGUCUGAUUCUUCAAAACCAUUAUGCAUGGCAGACAUGGCUUACAACUAUUUCCUUGGCCCUUGGCCUUUGAUUUUCUUGAAAUGCUGAAGAAAGAGGAAGAAAUACUUUCUGCUGUCAGGGAGAAGCUGCUUCAGGUAAGUAGCCUGAUGUGACGUCUUUGAUACCUUCUAGCCCGAACACAUCUUCUGGUUUGUCUUUUGGAAGGCAAAGGGCAAAGGAUCCUGGAGCGAUGUUUGUUGCUGGUGCUACAAGACAAGCUAGUAUCCGCAUUGCUCAGGUACUGCUGCGUGAAGGUUAUAGUGUAAGAGCUAGAGUUUCUGACCUUGGUGCAGCACAAGAACUAACUUGUCCAGCGGUUAUCUACAAGGUCAGUUUCUUUGUCCUUGGAAAUACAGAACUUGUUAGAUUAUCUGGCAUUGGUUGUUGGAAUGAACCAUUGUCUUAUAUGUUUUUUGGAAAUAUUAAUUCAUGAGCUUGCAUUCGGUUGAAUUAGGUUCAUGGUCCACUUUUCUCUAUCCAUGUGAUCUAUGUUGUGUUUAUAAUAGUGAGCCUAGAUGUUAUAUUGUUACAAUCUAGAUGUCUAGCCUUUUGUGGUGGGAGGGGAGGAGUGCUAGAAUGUCUCAUUUUCUGUUCUGUUUCUAUCUGAACCUUAUGACGCUUGAUCUCUGUGCUCUCUUUGUCAAUAUCUCAUUGCGUGAAGGUUAGCCUUUGACUAAAAGUUGCAAUAUGUAGGGUUUGAUGCCUACUUGGUUGGUGGAUGUGUCAGAGAUCUAAUUCUCAGUAGAAUACCAAAAGAUUUUGAUGUAAUCACAACUGCAAUGCUUCCGCAUGUUAAAGAUACAUUCAAAUAGUAUCCUAACAACAAGGCAGUUAUGUUUGGUUUCAGCUACUGCCUACUCGUUCCAUGAUUUGAUAUUUACGUCUCUGUGUUCUAUUUGUCAUAGAUAAAAAGGCUUUUCAUCGUGCAAUAGUUAUUGGACGACAGUUUCCAAUAUGUAGAGUACAUGUCAACGGUUCUGUUGUGGAGGUAGGUGCAGCUUUAUGCUAUAGAUCUGUUGCACAUUCUAUACUUAUAUGUUUGUGCAUGAGCAUGCUCUAUUUCACUAUUGUAUACUUAUCAUCUUUUUGUUAUAAGUAGGUACUUGCUGUAAAAUGAAAAUCAUUAAAGUGACAUGAGAAGUGAGAAUUGGUGUAUUCUUACUAUUCAAAUAAAUUUGUAAGUUUAUCAUUUAGAUCAAAAUUAUGGUAAAGUGUUAAGAAAAGGAGAACAUUCAUUGAAGAACUUCCAUUGGUGAUGAGUGCUGACCUCCCUUUGAACUUAUAUUGGAUAGACAACAGAUCUGAAAUCUUUUUCUUCUAGAUAACCUAGAUAUGUUGGGUAUCAUCUUUCACACACUAUACAUAUUUAAUUAGUGUAGAAUUCGGGUUCCAUCUCUUAGGUAUCAAGUUUUUGUACUACAGCAAAACAAACUGGAAAAAAGAGAAACAUUUUGUUCCUAAAAUGCCAAAGGAAUUUCAUCGGAAGGAUUUCAUUAUCUGGAAGGAUUCAAUACGCCGAGACUUCACUGUUAACAGGUAUCUCUUUUACUUUUUGUUCCUUUUAGAAAAUGGAGCUAAAUUUAAUUUCUAUUCUGUAAAUUAUUCCCUGCGAAAGGGAGGAACUGGAAGGCUUUGUAGGCUGUUAUUCUAUUGCAGGACUAAUUUUGUUUUGGUUUUCAAUGUCUGGUCUCCUUUCUAUUCCUAUAUCAUUGAGAGAAGGAUAUCCUACUUUAAAUUAGAUAUUUACACAUCAUCGAUCUAAUAAAAGGAUGAUAACUGCAUUUAAGACACAUAAGAUUAUGUUGUUCUGAAGUAUCGAAAAUGCAGAUUGUGUACAUCUGAGAUGGUUUUUAAUUGUCAUUACUCCUAAAUAUGCUUCCUUAGCUUAUUUGAAAGACACUGGCCGAAAUUGAUGCACUUGGCGAGCUUCAACAAGAUGGUACCCUUGUUGUGUAUGUAACUUCUCUGACAAAUUACAUUUUAGUGUUAUAGCUGUUCAAUGGCAGUUUUUGUAUGGGAAACUUAAAGAGCUUUAGGAUUGCAGAGAUGGUCAAGCUGUUGCAGUCAUAUCUGAGUGGAAAGCUAGGCUACUGAUGGAGCAGUCAAGUGCCCUUCAAUUUCCUAUCAUUUAGCUAGCACCAAGAAGAUUAAGCAAGAGCUUGAGAAGCCCAAUGUACUAGAAAGGUUUCUGGAAAACAAAGAUGACAUUGCCGAACUACAGAAAUGCUUUGCAGGGUUUUGGAGGUUGGAUGAAUCGACACUAUCAAGGAUGCAAUUGAGAGGCCUGGAUUGUAUGUUAUGACACCAAAACGAGAAGGAGGAGGUCCUGCUCAUGAAAUUGCUUGCGUCUAUAGUGCAAUUACAUAUUAAAAUCUCUAAUAGUAAUGCAAUUUUGGAUUAUGAGAUUAUUAAUGAUUGAUUUUGUUUUGUGAUGUGUAUAUAUUGUGUUAUAAUUUAUCAUGUAUGUAAAUAGAAAUUUACAUUAAUACGAGUGACUAUUUAUAUAAA